This 484-nucleotide ribosomal RNA is filed under the name uncultured bacterium. Its description in RNAcentral is "partial 16S ribosomal RNA". It matches the Rfam family "Bacterial small subunit ribosomal RNA", at positions 28 to 507 of the family's 1533-position model. The record is from RNAcentral.
AUUGAACGCUGGCGGCAUGCUUUACACAUGCAAGUCGAACGGCAGCGCGGGCUUCGGCCUGGCGGCGAGUGGCGAACGGGUGAGUAAUGCAUCGGAACGUGCCCAGUAGUGGGGGAUAGCCCGGCGAAAGCCGGAUUAAUACCGCAUACGACCUGCGGGUGAAAGCGGGGGACCGAAAGGCCUCGCGCUCUUGGAGCGGCCGAUGUCGGAUUAGCUAGUUGGUGGGGUAAAGGCUUACCAAGGCGACGAUCCGUAGCUGGUCUGAGAGGACGUCCAGCCACACUGGGACUGAGACACGGCCCAGACGCCUACGGGAGGCAGCAGUGGGGAACUUUGGACAAUGGGGGCAACCCUGAUCCAGCCAUGCCGCGUGCGGGAAGAAGGCCUUCGGGUUGUAAAGCGCUUUUGUUCGGGAAGAAAUCCUCUGGGCUAAUACCCCGGGGGGAUGACGGUACCGGAAGAAUAAGCACCGGCUAACUACGUG